This 75-nucleotide transfer RNA is filed under the name Vibrio phage 275E43-1. RNAcentral's name for it is "tRNA-Asn". It matches the Rfam family "tRNA". From Rfam's summary of the family: Transfer RNA (tRNA) molecules are approximately 80 nucleotides in length. Their secondary structure includes four short double-helical elements and three loops (D, anti-codon, and T loops). The record is from RNAcentral. Lineage: Duplodnaviria; Heunggongvirae; Uroviricota; Caudoviricetes; Zobellviridae.
GAUUGUGUAGCUCAGUGGUAGAGCAGUUGGCUGUUAACCAUCAGGUCGAAGGUUCGAACCCUUCCACAAUCGCCA